UUCCGUAGGGGGGACCUGCGGAGGGAUCAUUGCUGGAACGCGCCCCAGGCGCACCCAGAAACCCUUUGUGAACUUAUACCUUACUGUUGCCUCGGCGCAUGCCGGCCCCCCUGGGGGCCCCUCCUUCUGGAGGAGCAGGCACGCCGGCGGCCAACCUAACUCUUGUUUUUACACUGAAACUCUGAGAAUAAAACAUAAAUGAAUCAAAACUUUCAACAACGGAUCUCUUGGUUCUGGCAUCGAUGAAGAACGCAGCGAAAUGCGAUAAGUAAUGUGAAUUGCAGAAUUCAGUGAAUCAUCGAAUCUUUGAACGCACAUUGCGCCCUCUGGUAUUCCGGAGGGCAUGCCUGUUCGAGCGUCAUUUCAACCCUCAAGCCUGGCUUGGUGAUGGGGCACUGCUUUUACCCAAAAGCAGGCCCUGAAAUUCAGUGGCGAGCUCGCCAGGACCCCGAGCGCAGUAGUUAAACCCUCGCUUUGGAAGGCCCUGGCGGUGCCCUGCCGUUAAACCCCCAACUUCUGAAAAUUUGACCUCGGAUCAGGUAGGAAUACCCGCUGAACUUAAGCAUAUCAAA
Molecule: ribosomal RNA, 572 nt
Filed under: Diaporthe sp.
Lineage: Eukaryota; Fungi; Ascomycota; Sordariomycetes; Diaporthales; Diaporthaceae
Description: eukaryotic LSU rRNA
Rfam family: 5.8S ribosomal RNA (bases 208-361)
Source: RNAcentral